RNAcentral lists this long non-coding RNA (332 nucleotides) under Rattus norvegicus (Norway rat). Its description in RNAcentral is "long non-coding RNA NONRATT033075". The record is from RNAcentral. Lineage: Eukaryota; Metazoa; Chordata; Mammalia; Rodentia; Muridae.
CCAGAACUUCGGAAAUUUGAAUAACCCCUCUUGGCAUUAACAGGUGGCCUGGGAAUAGGAAUUCUCUCUGUGAGUCCUGUGAUGGAGGCUGAGAAAAAGACACUCCAUGGCACCCCUGUGAGGAUGUUGUCCCACACUAGUGGCUGCCUACUCACCACAAGAAUGAGAACAGGAGGACCAACCCCCCUCAGGCUAUAAGAUUCAAGAGACAAGUCAAGCACCGUGAUGCAGACUUGAAACUCCAGCAUUUAGGAGGCUAAAGUAGGAGAGCCCCAUGUUAGAGGCCCAUCGUGAAUGAGAGGGUACACAAAACCUGAGGAGUAGAAGUGGCG